Molecule: ribosomal RNA, 1153 nt
Filed under: uncultured Basidiomycota
Lineage: Eukaryota; Fungi; Basidiomycota
Description: eukaryotic LSU rRNA
Rfam family: Eukaryotic large subunit ribosomal RNA (bases 719-1153)
Source: RNAcentral
CUUGGUCAUUUAGAGGAAGUAAAAGUCGUAACAAGGUUUCCGUAGGUGAACCUGCGGAAGGAUCAUUAAUGUGAUGGAUGUGCUAGUCUUGACUUCUCAAUCCUCCUUUCAAUGUUCUCAUUGCUAGGUGGGGGCCUGACGGCUCGAGGAGAAGGGAAAUAAAAGCCCGUUCGGGUGUGCACUCCGAUACAAUCCAAAUUUCUUUAUACCUUGUGCAUCUUUGCCUGCUGAACAAGCAAAGGAUAUCGAAAUGAUGUUCCUUGAUUGUUUUAUGUAGGAUGCCUUUGUCACAAUUUUUAAAGAAUGUCUUAUUAGCUUAAAAGCAAAUGUAAAACAACUUUCAACAAUGGAUCUCUUGGUUCUCGCAUCGAUGAAGAACGCAGCGAAUUGCGAUAUGUAAUGUGAAUUGCAGAAUUCAGUGAAUCAUCGAAUCUUUGAACGCAUAUUGCACCCUCUGGUCCAUUCCAGAGGGUAUGCCUGUUUGAGUGUCAUUAAUGUAUCAAACCACCAAGCUUGCUUGGUUGGUCUUGGAUGUUGAGGGUUGCUGGGGUUAUAAUGAUCAGCUCCCUUUAAAUGCAUUAGCUUGGAAUGUAUAAGCCAUUUUAGCUUAGGCUGAUAUGAAUACAGCGUAUUAAAUGCUUUUGCUAAAGUGUAGCUUGUCUGGGCUUAUAACUGUCUCUAGCUGAGACUGUCUUUUGACAUUGUUAAAUCAUGAUCAUGACCUCAAAUCAGGUAGGACUACCCGCUGAACUUAAGCAUAUCAAUAAGCGGAGGAAAAGAAACUAACAAGGAUUCCCUUAGUAACUGCGAGUGAACAGGGAAGAGCUCAAAUUUAAAAUCUGGCAGUGUUGACUGUCCGAGUUGUAAAUUAGAGAAGUGUUAUCCAUGCUGACCCUGUGCAAAAGCUUCUUGGAACAGAGCAUCAUAGAGGGUGAUAAUCCCGUCUUUGGUACAGGCUGUUGGUUGUUUGUGAUGCACUUUCAAAGAGUCGAGUUGUUUGGGAAUGCAGCUCUAAAUGGGUGGUAAAUUCCAUCUAAAGCUAAAUAUUGGCGAGAGACCGAUAGCGCACAAGUACCGUGAGGGAAAGAUGAAAAGAACUUUGAAAAGAGAGUUAAACAGUACGUGAAAUUGUUGAAAGGGAAACGCUUGAAGU